CUCAAUCUUGCUUUCUUCACGUUUGUUGCAAUGUCUACCACCCCACAUCUUCUAAACUCUUCCUUCUAAACACUGGCUAAUGUCUAUGAUUGCCUCUCCUUAAAUUUCUUAUUACAUGUCCAUAUCAUGUCAGCUUUGAUUCCCUCAUACUGCAAUGUCUACCACUCCACAUCAUCUUCUGGUCUCUUCAUUUCUCACCUAUCCUUCAGCCUAAAUAUACUGUACUUAACUAACUCUAUGUAUAUUGGAUAGCUCUAUAAAGAUCCCUCUAGAGCUCCAGUAAGGGCACUCCCUUAUUGGUGCAGUGUUACUGCAGGAGGAAGCCAAACUACC
Non-coding RNA from Paramuricea clavata, 333 nucleotides. Lineage: Eukaryota; Metazoa; Cnidaria; Anthozoa; Malacalcyonacea; Plexauridae. The record is from the annotation of a GenBank genome assembly.